This 480-nucleotide unclassified non-coding RNA is filed under the name Hevea brasiliensis (rubber tree). The record is from RNAcentral. Lineage: Eukaryota; Viridiplantae; Streptophyta; Magnoliopsida; Malpighiales; Euphorbiaceae.
UUCGCCGGAGAAGGCACUCGAGUGCGUUUACGGUUACGCGCUCGGUCUCGAUAUGACGCGCCGCGAUCUUCAGCGCGCGAUGGGUGACCAGAAGAAGCCGUGGGAGAUCGGCAAGAGCUUCGAUAAUUCCGCCGUGAUUGGCCCGAUUCACCCCGUGACCAAGACCGGCCAUUUUGCCAAAGGCGCGAUCUCGCUCGCCGUGAACGGAACGGUGAAGCAGAGCUCCGACCUCAGCAACAUGAUCUGGAGUGUGGCCGAACAAAUCUCGAAGUUGUCCGAGGCCUGCGAGCUGAAGGCCGGCGACAUCAUCUAUUCCGGCACGCCGGAGAAUGUCGGACCGGUUGUGAAAGGUGACGUCAUCCUUUGCAAACUGGAGGGCCUGCCGGAUAUGUCGAUCAAGAUCGUCUGACGCUGUUCGAGCGGCACGGUUCGCUGUCGAGCAAAUAAAAAGCCCGCCGUCCGGUGGGCUUUUUUUUCGAU